RNAcentral lists this ribosomal RNA (373 nucleotides) under uncultured organism. RNAcentral's name for it is "partial 16S ribosomal RNA". It matches the Rfam family "Bacterial small subunit ribosomal RNA", at positions 527 to 896 of the family's 1533-position model. The record is from RNAcentral.
GUAGGUGGCAAGCGUUGUCCGGAAUUAUUGGGCGUAAAGCGCGCGCAGGCGGUUCUUUAAGUCUGAUGUGAAAGCCCACGGCUCAACCGUGGAGGGUCAUUGGAAACUGGAGAACUUGAGUACAGAAGAGGAAAGCGGAAUUCCACGUGUAGCGGUGAAAUGCGUAGAGAUGUGGAGGAACACCAGUGGCGAAGGCGGCUUUCUGGUCUGUAACUGACGCUGAGGCGCGAAAGCGUGGGGAGCAUACAGGAUUAGAUACCCUGGUAGUCCACGCCGUAAACGAUGAGUGCUAAGUGUUAGGGGGUUUUCCGCCCCCCUUAGUGCUGCAGCUAACGCAUUAAGCACUCCGCCUGGGAGUACGGCCGCAAGGCUG